RNAcentral lists this transfer RNA (73 nucleotides) under Felis catus (domestic cat). It matches the Rfam family "tRNA". From Rfam's summary of the family: Transfer RNA (tRNA) molecules are approximately 80 nucleotides in length. The record is from Rfam by way of RNAcentral. Lineage: Eukaryota; Metazoa; Chordata; Mammalia; Carnivora; Felidae.
ACCUGGCUGGCUCAGUCAGUGGAGCACAUGACUCUUGAUCUUGGGGCUGUGAGUUCAAGCCCCAUGUUGGGUG